GGACUACCCGGGUUUCUAAUCCCGUUUGCUCCCCUGGCUUUCGCGCCUCAGCGUCAGAAAAGGUCCAGUCGAUCGCUUUCGCCACCGGCGUUCCUAUUGAUAUCUACGCAUUUCACCGCUCCACCAAUAGUUCCAUCGACCCCUACCUCCCUCGAGACUGCCAGUAUCAAAAGCACUUUUCCGGUUGGGCCGAAAGAUUUCACCCCUGACUUGGCAGCCCGCCUACGCGCCCUUUAAGCCCAGUGAUUCCGAACAACGUUUGGACGGUUCGUCUUACCGCGGCGGCUGGCAC
RNAcentral lists this ribosomal RNA (292 nucleotides) under uncultured Planctomycetota bacterium. RNAcentral describes it as "uncultured planctomycete partial 16S ribosomal RNA". The record is from RNAcentral. Lineage: Bacteria; Pseudomonadati; Planctomycetota.